Long non-coding RNA from Phasianus colchicus (ring-necked pheasant), 2571 nucleotides. RefSeq lists it as uncharacterized. NCBI's taxonomy places the organism in Eukaryota, Metazoa, Chordata, Aves, Galliformes, Phasianidae. The record is from RefSeq and is a predicted model, not a curated record.
UGACUGCCAGUGAGGAAGGAUUUCUCUCUGGAGGUUGCUUCUUGUGGAGUUUAUUGCAAGCCUACAAUGCUGAUGGGGCGUGGAAUAAUGUCAUUGCAAGAGAAGUGGAUGCACUGACACAACCUCAUGCAGUGUAUUCAGGGAAGGGAGAGUAAGGGAUGAAAGCAAGAUACAGCUGGCAGCAAGCAGAAGAAUAACAGCAUCCCCCUGAAAUAUACAUCACCUAUAUAUAUAUAUAUCCCCCUACAUAUAUCAUUAUUCUGCACCUGCGAGUCCUUAAUAUCAAUCUGGUUUGUUUUUCUUUAAUUUAAUUUAUUAAUAAGAUUUUUAUUAGCCACUAUUGAAUCUGAGAUUUGUAUUCAAGAAAGGAAAUGUCUCCAUCAUCUCCUCUGAUGUCACCCCAGAGAGAAGAUUAGAAGAUUAGCUGUGUCAGCUGACACCAGCCCAGCGGCAGCAAAAAUAAUUUUGCACAUUCAAAGAGAAUGAGGGAGAAAUUCCUCCAAGAAAUGUGAGCCUGACAGAGGCAAUUGUUGGCUCACAACAAGAACGCUUUGUGCAAAUGUGCAGAUAUACAGUAAAUAAAAUAAGCAGAUCAAAGACUUGGAAGAAGAUUCUUCUUAAGGAAGAAAUAAGUGGAUGGUCUCAAUCUCAGCGGUGUUUUGGUCUCACCUGAUUUACAAGCAGUUGCAUUCCUGGAGGAUGAGUUACAAAAGGCCAUUGAAAUUACAUGAGGAAAUAUAAAUGCUACAUUUAAAAAAUAAAGUUGGAGGACUGAGGCAGAAUUUGUGUUCCCAUCAAUUUGUAGGAGCUAUUCAUGCACAGUGCAAUUAGUGCUAAUGGGAUUUCCCUCUGCUGAUGUUCCAGAUGUUAAUGAAAUGCCUCAUGUUGAACUUAAAAAGCAAAAGAGAAAUUCUACAAUUAGGUUUGAUCUUGAUUUCUCUGGAUUUAGUGGCUUUACUGUGGACUAUUUCAGUGGAACUGAGGCUUGCACAGCUGAGCGUGGCUGUAUUCACUCUGCAUAGAUCUUGUGGAAAAGGGAGUGUUGAGCUCUGAAUGUAAAUAUUAUGGUAUCAUGUUUGGGUUUGCAGAGAAGGUGAGAGUCUUGCAAACCUGAUUUGGCAGCUGCGAAAAUAACACUCCGGCAAACAGAUGUUCUCUGUGAUGAGGGAAGUCUUUUAAAAGAUUCACAAAUUAAUGAGAACUGCCAGGUUUUUAGUGGUUCCUACCAGAAUUCCUAUAAAUCAGCCUAGCUGAGUAAGGAGGCAGGGAUGAGAGGAAUCAAUAACCUCACCAAACAGCCUGUAUACCCAAGGUUAGCUGACAAAGGGCUUCAGAGCUGGGAAAUCCCAAGAGGAAUUAAGGAGGUACAAUAUCAUCCUUCCUGAAGGCAAAAGCUGCAACAUCAGUUGUGUGCAGUAAGUGCUCUGGGGGCUAAUUGCAGCCAGCAGCAAUCAGGGAUAUUGGCUCAGCAAUGAGGAGAUGUGAGGUGUCAGCACUCUGUGUUAUUGGCUCAUCCUGGCAGCACUGAAGUGGGGGAAGUGAAGCUCCCUACUUCACCUGCAGGUUGAUAACACAGCUAUCAAGGUAUUGUGCUCCCACCUGCCUUCAGCCCUGAUGGAAACCAGCCCUGAGCUGCAUGUUGCCCAGAGGAGUGGUGGAGUCACAAUCCCUAUAGAUUUUCAAGAGCUUUGUAGGUGUGGCACUGAGGAACAUGGUUUGGUGAGCACAGUGGGGAUGAAUUGACGGAUGGGCUAGGUGAUCUUAGUGGUCUUUUCCAAAGUUAGUGAUUCUAUAAUUCUAACAGAGUGGUUACAAGAGUUGAAGACAUUCACACCUUCAAAAUACUGCCUCCCAAUUGCUAGUCUUAACUUCGUGAAUUUCUGCCUACUUAGAGUCGUGUCAAACUUAGAUUUCACCAGCCCAGCAGAAAUCAUGCCAUGAAAAUUGUCACUGUUAAAUGGUAGCCUUGGUGGGUCAACAAAAGGUCUGUGUUUCAUCCCAUGCUUGUAGGAGCAAACUACACUCCAGCUGUGGGCAAAUACAUCCCCUAGAAUGGGAUUGAACAAGCAGCAGGUGAUGGGCUGCAUAAUCAUGGCCAAAACCACAGCUGACAAGCACUUCUCUUGCAACCUUGUGCUGUGAAAAAUUGUCUGUGAUUUCCUCCUCAUAGGUGUUCCUCUAUCCUGUGUCUUCUGGAAUAGCCAGCAGCAGAGUGAGCACCAGAGAGCAGCAAUAAUCUCUGACCAAUCUCUCCACUCAUCUGCUCCACCAGGCACUGUUCUUUCCAGCACUGGGUGUGGGCCUAUUGGGCAAGGAAACAGAAUUAAUUAAGGAAUUGCUAAUGGAAUCAGACCUGAACAACAGAGAAAUUUAUUUAUUAGGUUAUCUAUGAAUGCAACAUGAUGUACUUUACAAUCCACUUUCAUUUGCUGCUUUGCAAUCAUUUGUCAAGGGCGCCUGCCAGCAGGAAUGACCAGGGAGGAGCUUUCAUUUGUAGUCAUGUGGGAAUGCCUCCACCUUACAAUAAACACAGCUACAAUUAACGGAAGCAGUGACCUUGUUGGCAAUUUC